AAUGAAUUGCCUGAUAAAAGGAUUACCUUGAUAGGGUAAAUUAUGUAUUAAGUAGUACAUUCAUUA
RNAcentral lists this transfer RNA (66 nucleotides) under Thaumatomyia glabra. RNAcentral describes it as "tRNA-Ile". Lineage: Eukaryota; Metazoa; Arthropoda; Insecta; Diptera; Chloropidae. The record is from RNAcentral.